CAGCCAGAAGAGCAGAUCUGAUUUGAGGGCAGCUGGGAAGCCGUCCAAUCUGGAGAGCCUCUACAAUUAGCAAAACAAGGUCUGGAAUUCCUGGACUUCACUCCUUGUUAGCGAGAAAGCGAAACACGUGAUGUUCUGCUUUGCUCUCAGUGUCAAAACCUUGUGCUCAUGGGCCCUGGCGGCUACACAGAAAGCCCUGAGGACUGAAACCCUGCAUGGGUACAUUUUGAUGGGGCAGGAAGAAAAGUUCUGGAGUGUGGAGAGCAGAGGUCCAGAGCAUUCACUGAUUUAGCCACAGAAGAAACAGAUGCGGAAACCGGGGCACAGCAGGCGAAGUGAAACUUCCCAUGUUCCAGCAAAGCCCAGUCCAUAACGUGAGGCUUUGUGAGGUUUGUGUGUGCGACCUUCACCCCUUCACCUGGACCCUCUCUUUGUCCUCCUUUCGCACCCAGUGAUGUGUGGCCUGGAUCACUUCCCUGCCCUCAAGUCUUGCCCUGGCCUGACGUUCAGCGGACCCUCCGUGCAUUAAGGAUGGAGGAUGGUUCCUUGUGCUUCCUCUACCAGGUGCACUUGUAUCUGCUCGGAAUUCUGGAAGAGCAAAGACCCACUGGCCCCACUAAUCCAUCUAUUGAUCCUGCCCCGGUCAGCAGGCUGGGUCUAGCCUCCACACUGCCGCUGCUCAGGGUCUGUGGAGGAAGUCGCUGCAGCCAUUCAGCCAGAUGAAUCGCAAUUAAUAAAUGUGGAACGAAUGAGAGACGAAGACGAUGAGCACCAGAGGACUGCAGGGAGCACGGCUGAGGCAACAUCACCAGAGGAUAGUAAAAUUAGCAGACAGAGAUCUAAGCACAAACAGUGUCUCUGUGUAGCCUUAAAGCAUCUCUUUGAAUAUUUAAUGGUUACAAAGGAAAAACAGUGAGUUGAUGGGGGAGAACCCUGGCAGGCACCACCCUAACCAAGAGAUCAAAGUUGGCAUGACCAGGCACAAGGCACACUAACAGCCCACACCCACUGAUCUGGCCCACCGAAAAUGCACAUCACUUCUGUGGCAUUGCCACGGAAUUUCCAAAAAGGCAUUACCUCAGUCCAAUGCAGAGAAGGCGUCAGGCAGACCUAGGCGGAGAGACUGUCCAAGAGCGACAGACCCAUCCUCUUAAAAAGCCGGCCCUGACACAGAAAGGAGACAGAGAAAGGUGACAGCCAAAUGCACGUGGGAGCUGGGAACAGAGGAGGGCACUGGGAGGGGCCUGCCUGCCGUCCAGCUCUCGAGACCACGGCGAGAUUCAGAAGGGAAUUGGGCCAUUCCUUCUCCAAAGCAGAACGUACUGCAGCUGUGAGAGUUCUAGGAGAAAAUUCAGAUGAACUUUCAAAUCAGCUUCUCAAGUGUCAACAUCCUGUUGCGAUUUUCAUUGAUAUUGAACUGAAUUUAUAGAUUUUGUAAGCAGAAAAAAAUUAUUUUAAUUUUUUGAGAAAAAAAGUUUUAAAUGGUUUGUUUUCAGACUGUGUCAAGAUAUCCCUACCUCCGAAGUUGUCAGGUUUGCGGACCUUGGGGUGAAGCGUGGGGCUGCUGGAGGCGUCCAGCCCUGACUGUGUGUCCAGGACAAUGAGCCCCGAAGUGAGCGGGCCGCGUCCUGUUGGCGCAGCCAACUUCACGCCCUCUGUCCAGGGAGGACUAAGGGACAAGCUGCAGCAGGCGCAGAGGACGCUGUUGGUGUCCGGGAGGCCGCUGGUACAGGGCGUUGGGCGUGGCUCCUUUCCAAGUGCCUUGCACUUUCCAGGCUGGGCUGCAGAAGCAGGCUCGGGGGCGACUCGCGUGGGGACUGAAGCAGCCAGCCUUGGCACCUGCCCACAGCAAAUAACUGCCUUGACUUGAUCUGGUUUUUUUGAAGAAAGGUUUAUUCAUACCCAUUAUGUGCGCAUGUGUAAAUUCAAACCCACGGCUUGCCGGAGCCUGGGCUUUCUCGAACAUCAGUUGCUCCCAUGCUACCAUUUUGCAGUUUGCCCGUCUCCAGUAGAUGAUUUCUGAAUAUUUUAAUCAACUCAUUAUUAACCAUUCACACGUCUACCUUAGCCUCAUUUUAAGCAAUUGCACCUGUGGGUUUCACAGGCCUGCUGUAUUUUUAGUACAUAUUAAAUAAAGCAUGUCUGUUGGGGCGUGCUGUGCUUGCCCACCUG
Molecule: long non-coding RNA, 2172 nt
Filed under: Homo sapiens (human)
Lineage: Eukaryota; Metazoa; Chordata; Mammalia; Primates; Hominidae
Description: HSALNT0314390
Source: RNAcentral